Lycium barbarum (goji berry) is the source of this 2786-nucleotide long non-coding RNA. RefSeq lists it as uncharacterized. The record is from RefSeq and is a predicted model, not a curated record. Lineage: Eukaryota; Viridiplantae; Streptophyta; Magnoliopsida; Solanales; Solanaceae. The transcript has 4 exons.
ACGAAUAUACUUCUUCUCACUUCAAACCCCCAACAUAGAUAGAUAGAGAGAGAGAUAGAAGAGAGAGAGAUAGCUUUUACUGUAAAUUUAUGGCGAAAUCGUGAGAGGGAUAAAAAAUAAUGUGAAUCUAGGGCUUCUAUUGCAUUUUUCUCUUCGUCUGCUACAUCUUUUAGCUAAAGGACAGGGAUUCCUAAUGAAAGCUUCACAUAGAGCUUCAUAGGAAGCUUGUUGCAGCAGUUAAUUAUUUAUGCAUUGGAGGUGAUUUUCUUUAGCAUCACUGUGAUGAUUUUGACUUGAUGAAUGUUGAAGGAGUUACAAGAGGGAAUGUGGCAAGCCAUCUCCAGGUAUCUUUAUAUAUAUUUCCAUAUGUUUCCUUUAAUCUGCUUUAUAUUUUUACAAAUGGGAUAUAUGUAUGCAAUCCAUGUACAUUGUUUAUGAAUUUUGAAUUUGGUUGGCUCUUGAACUAAGCAUGGAAAGAAUUAUAUAUCCUUUCUUUUAUUACUUCGCUCUCUAUAUUCAACUUUUAGACUUCACCAUAAAAUCUGCCUUUUGUCGAUAUCUUUUCUUUGAGGAAGUGAAGUAGUAGCCGUCUGUUCUGCUUAAACGACAGGUUUGUACUGCGUAACUCUCUUUUGAAGCUUUUCAUUCUCUGGAAAAAAAAAACCUCUCUUUUGAAGCUUUUUGUGUAGUGCCACUAAAUUUUUCUUCAAGUUACCUCUUUAUUGAUCGGAUUACUCUAAUUAUUAUAAUGAAAGUAGGAUGAUAAUUGUAGCAAAUUAGUAUCAACUGACGGCUUAGGGAUAAGGAGGAAAAAAAUGGUCUUCUGAAUGGGACAAAUAUGCUUUACAUACACUAAUUUUGCAGCUGAAAGACUAGAUUUGGAGAUUAUUUAUAUGGGGUGUUUGAAGGCAUCAGAUUUAGAAUUCAAUAAACAAACGGAAGUAGCAAAAUUCUUAUGAACGAAAUUUAGGUAUGUACCAACUAUCUUGUCAUUGAUAAACAAGUAUUAUCAUCUCAUGAUUUUGCCUACUAUGUUGAGCAGAAUACAAUAGAAUAAAAGUUGAUUUUUUUUCCUUUAUAGUCCUUUGUCACCAUCUGAAUAUACUUGCAAAGAAAAAUCUCACAAAUGAUGUGAAGUUGUUUUCUUACUUAGUUUUUUACUAAAGUGCUAGCUAGCCUUAGAAGGGCUUUCAAGUAACAAACUGUCAUUCCUCACUCAAUAUAGCUUGUUGUUUCAUUGAUUGUUGCUUGAUGCAUGGGUAACAGAGAAGACUCAAAGUUAUGUCGACUUGCACCCAUGGGUUCCUUCUACCAACUUAUAGUUCCAAGAGCUAUUUAUUUUAUAGUCGCAUCAUACUAUUAAUUCUAGUUUCAUAACCGGUGUGGAUAAAUUUCUCCUAUUUUGCAUGUUCUGGGCGAAGUUGCAUGAGUGGUGACAGAAGUUAUUAAUCUUUCAGUGAGUGGUUCAAACAUUAGAUAUCAGAGGUAUGUUGUACUUUAACAAAUUAGAACUUCUUAAUAUACAAAAUAUUACUCUAGCUAGAACCCUUGAAGGACAAUAAGAUCUUAAGUUUAUUAAAAUUGGAAAGUAGCUGCAACCUUCUAGGAUAAAUUUGAGUUACUGCUGUAAACUUUUGGCAUUAGACAUUGAUUUGUUGUUGGUUAGAACUUGAAAAUUGCAUUAUUUAGUGCUUCAUGGGAAUUCUGCUACUGAAUCACACAAACUAGAAGAAGAAUAAAUCACUCCACACCCCUGUCCAGCUCUGGCCAUCCCUCUCCUUCUCAGAUCACAGAAGACUACCAGGUAAGUUCCUUUCCCCUCUCUUCUCAUUAUUUGUAUCUUUUUACCUGCAGUGUGAUAUAUGUUGUGACUAAAUCAGUGAUGAAACCGCAGGAAUAUGCCAUUUAGUUACACUUGACCAUGUUGUUUUCUUGGCAGUUGUGUGCUCAUAGUCAAGUUAAUUAGUCUCCUCUUUCACUUUGAAGUCUAGAUUAGAUAUAUUGCACAUCUUUUGGCAUUGAUUUAUGUGAUCUAUAGUUUCUAUGUUUGAGCAUUCUCAUGGUCUAGAGACUAGAAACUAAGGCAUAUGCUUAAUCUUCUAAGUAAACGAAUAUAAUCAUAUUUUGAUAAACAACAAGCAAGAAGAUAGAAGAAGCUAUGGUAAUGUCAUUUUGUUUCUUGAACUCAAGUCCUAUUAUUUGCACAAGACCUCAUUUAAGAACUAUUUAAGAACUUAAUACAAUCUUCUUAUGUUUGUUGGUUUAAUGUCCCAUUGUUCUGAAAGAUCUUUCUCACCAAACAUAGUCAAGUAUAUGUGUGUGUCUUUGUUAAAAAAUUUGAACUGAUGCUAAAAAUUGAUUUGUUAUUGGCAGCGAGGUUUCAAUUGUUGGAAACAAUGAGCUUUGUGGGGGUGUUCUAGAGUUACUUUAUAUGUUGAUGGCUGCUAUUGAAGUAUGAUUUUGAAAUUUCAUUGCUUAACAGUUCAGGAUAUAGCUCAUGAAUUGUUAGAGUAAUAGUGACCUCAAAAGGAGUAGAUGGACAUUGAAACUUGGAUAUAUUACGAGACUGUGGGAGGACAGACGAAGAUAAGCGUUUAUGUCCUUGGGUCCUACUUUCGAUCCCGAUGAACAUCACUCUCCAACACCACAUUAGUUAGCUUUGUCUUUCAGGCUCUAUUCUAUUAGUUAAACAACAAUUAUGAGCGUUGUUGAUGCUUUGAGAUUUAUGUAAUUUUGAAUUUGAUUGUUAAUCUUCAAAUUAUUUAUAUGAAAUCGGGUUCUUGUAA